RNAcentral lists this ribosomal RNA (468 nucleotides) under uncultured bacterium. RNAcentral describes it as "partial 16S ribosomal RNA". It matches the Rfam family "Bacterial small subunit ribosomal RNA", at positions 28 to 507 of the family's 1533-position model. The record is from RNAcentral.
GACGAACGCUGGCGGCGUGCUUAACACAUGCAAGUCGAACGGAAAGGCCCUGCUUUUGUGGGGUGCUCGAGUGGCGAACGGGUGAGUAACACGUGAGUAACCUGCCCUUGACUUUGGGAUAACUUCAGGAAACUGGGGCUAAUACCGGAUAGGAUCUCCUGCUGCAUGGUGGGGGUUGGAAAGUUUCGGCGGUUGGGGAUGGACUCGCGGCUUAUCAGCUUGUUGGUGGGGUAGUGGCUUACCAAGGCUUUGACGGGUAGCCGGCCUGAGAGGGUGACCGGCCACAAUGUUACUGAGAUACGCAGCAGACUCCUACGGGAGGCAGCAGUGGGGAAUAUUGCACAGUGGGCGGAAGCCAGAUACGACGACGCCGCGUGCGGGAUGACGGCCUUCGGGGUGUGAACCGCUUUCGCCUGUGACGAUGCGUUAAUGACGGUAAUGGGUGAAGAAGCACCGGCUAACUACGUG